This 651-nucleotide ribosomal RNA is filed under the name uncultured bacterium. RNAcentral's name for it is "SSU rRNA". It matches the Rfam family "Bacterial small subunit ribosomal RNA", at positions 875 to 1520 of the family's 1533-position model. The record is from RNAcentral.
UCCACCGUGGGGUAGUACGUUCGACAAGAAUAGAAACUACAAAGGUAAUUGGACGGGGGCCCCGCACAAGCGGAGGAACAUGUGGUUUAAUUCGAUGAUACGCGAGGAACCUUACCCGGGCUUGAAAUGCAUCUGACAGGGGCAGAGACGUCUUUCCCUUCGGGGCAGAUGUGUAGGUGCUGCAUGGUUGUCGUCAGCUCGUGCCGUGAGGUGUCGGCUUAAGUGCCAUAACGAGCGCAACCCUCAUCAUUAGUUACCAUCAGGUUAAGCUGGGGACUCUAAUGAGACUGCCAUCGUAAGAUGCGAGGAAGGUGGGGAUGACGUCAAAUCAGCACGGCCCUUACGUCCGGGGCGACACACGUGUUACAAUGGGUGGUACAAAGGGCAGCUACAUGGCGACAUGAUGCUAAUCUCCAAAACCACUCUCAGUUCGGAUCGGAGUCUGCAACUCGACUCCGUGAAGCUGGAUUCGCUAGUAAUCGCGCAUCAGCCACGGCGCGGUGAAUACGUUCCCGGGCCUUGUACACACCGCCCGUCAAGCCAUGGAAGCCGGGGGUACCUGAAGUUCGUAACCGCAUAGGAGCGACCCAGGGUAAAACUGGUAACUGGGGCUAAGUCGUAACAAGGUAGCCGUACCGGAAGGUGCGGCUG